AUGAAAGCUCUCUUCAAAUCUUUGAAGGCAUUUUUUUCUCCUUUUUCCCUUACCAGGCAAAGCACUCCACAGUUCUUCAACUCUGGCGCUCUGGAAGAGUAUUCUUUCUAUGGCUGGUGGCCAGUCCCUCCUCUAGGCAUGCUGUCUUCCUCUGCCUCCCAGAGAAGCUCAAGCGGUGCACCAGAGCUUCAGAUAUGGUCUGCUCAAGCACGCAGGAGUCAUUGUCUCCUGGGGAAGCUCACACAGUGCACCAGAGCUUCAGCCCCAGCCAAACCUGAUCGUGAAGCAGCUUCUGGCCCGCAGGUCGCUGUGCUCCCUCUUCUCGUCUCUUGGCUGGAAGCGCAGAUUUGGGUUCUGUUCCUGACUCAGUCCAAGUGCCAGGAAUCAGCCCUCCCCAGGGAUGCGUCCAGCCUGGGGAGAUACCUGCUCGUCCCAGCUGUGGUGUUCUUAAGUCUAAGGACCCUUCUGUAAACAGAUCACACGUUGGAAGUCACCUCCUGUCUCCGCAGCACUCUGACUGCCACUGUGCCAGGGGACAUGCCGUCCCUUUCACACCCCGAGGGCAUCAGCGAUGUCACUUUGUCACCUGCAGGCUGUUGGACUAAACGUCCUCAUAUUUCAGGCUGCAUUGUUUCCCUGUGACUCAAUUACUCAUUACUCAUUGAUAAGGCACGUGAUCGAUCCAUUUAUAAAUCAAGUGUAGUCUCCAGCCUGCCCUUCCGUGCUCUGUGCUCAGGGGCCACUGGUCCCUGUGAUGAAGGCCAAGUUCUCUAGAGAGCCUUCUCUGGUUUCAUCAUUUUGUGGAGGGAGGAUGUUUUAUCUUUUUUUUUUUUUUUUAGGGUUUUAAUUUUUAUUUUUUUUUUUUUUUUUUUGUCUUCUUAGGACUGCACCAGAGGCAUAUGGAGGUUCCCAGGCUAGGGGUUAAAUCAGAACUACAGCUGCUGGUCUGCACCACAGCCACAGCCACACUAGAUCUGAGCCUCAUCUGUGACCCACACUAUAGCUCACGGCAACACCAGAUCCUUAUCCCACUGAGCAAGGCCAGGGAUCGAACCUGCAUCCUCAUGGAUAUUAGUCAGAUUGGUUUCUGCUGAGCCAUGACAGGAACUCUGUAAUUUUAAUUUUUGAUUGUCCCAAUUAUGAAGAAAAAAUGCCUGUGAGAACAUAAAACACAGAAGCGAAAAAAUUUGUCUCACUGUCAUCUACAGGCACUGAGAACAUUCAGGAUGUCUUUGGGGCUUGUCCUCACUUGGCAGAAGUGCUUGUAUGUAUUCAUCACCAGCCCACCUCUGCUGACCAGUGCCUGUCUUUUCUAAAGAACUUUUUAUAGAUUCCCGGGCUCUUUGGCCUGCCCAGUGCACACUGGCCUCAACUGCCCACUCCUGCCAAACCAAGUAUUUUCCUUGUCUGCAUUUGCUUGGUCUUAGGAAGCGACUCUGGGCUCUGCCGUCUACGGUGUCACCUCUUCUUGGAAACGAGGUCCAAGGAUUCAGGUGGGCUGGAGCUCGCCCACGAUGAUGGGUGGUUUUUCUAUUUACCACUCUCCUUCUGGAAGCCCUGAUGGAUGCUGUCCGGGCAAGCUUUGCUGCUCUGCCCAAGUUUUCCUGAGUUACUCCAGAACUGCCCCCUAGAGGCCUCGGUCCAUGGUAAAGCUAUGUGGACUCUAGGAUUUGCUAUGCAAAAAGCCCUUGAACUAGGAUGCUCCCCAUUUCUCCGGAUGAUAAAAGGGACUCAGAAGGAGAAAAACCCCCAACAGAGUCGUUGCCUGAUGGCACUUAUUAAUUAGCAUCCCUGAGAAAGGGUGCCGAGAGAUUUCAUGUGGAUUUGAGUUAUCCUCUGGGAAUUUGUCCACCAAAGCCACUGAUGGGCCACCCUUCCUGUGUUGGUGGUUUUUGUCUGUAAUAGAUGAAGUCAGGAUACUUUUCUGUCGGGGGAGGGGGUGCACGCAAGACUCACUUAGUGUGAGUUUCAGUUGAAAACCCUUCCUUUCCAGCAGCUUAUUAAAAAGCACACACCAGUCUGGCUAAAAAAUAUCCUCAGGAAACCAGGCUGCAAGAAGAGAGGGUGAAACAGGAAUGAACAAUUUCGUUUUUCUUGGAAAAUGGCAUCAUUCUCCAAGGAAUGAAAGGCUAAAAGCAUUCCCCAGAUUUUUCUCAGGCACGUGUGCCAGUCCACAGAGGGCUGAAACCCUACACAGAAUCUGGAUUGAUUUCAAUUUCAGUCAUUCAGGUGUUUGUGGCAUAGAAUAAACACCACCCAGAAGGCA
This 2266-nucleotide long non-coding RNA is filed under the name Sus scrofa (pig). RNAcentral describes it as "lncRNA (ENSSSCG00030014194.1)". The record is from RNAcentral. Lineage: Eukaryota; Metazoa; Chordata; Mammalia; Artiodactyla; Suidae.